Molecule: ribosomal RNA, 248 nt
Filed under: uncultured bacterium
Lineage: Bacteria
Description: partial 16S ribosomal RNA
Rfam family: Bacterial small subunit ribosomal RNA
Source: RNAcentral
UACGUAGGGUGCAAGCGUUAAUCGGAAUUACUGGGCGUAAAGCGUGCGCAGGCGGUUUUGUAAGUUUGUCGUGAAAGCCCCGGGCUCAACCUGGGAAUUGCGAUGAAGACUGCAAGGCUAGAGUGUGUCAGAGGGGGGUAGAAUUCCACGUGUAGCAGUGAAAUGCGUAGAUAUGUGGAGGAACACCGAUGGCGAAGGCAGCCCCCUGGGAUAACACUGACGCUCAUGCACGAAAGCGUGGGGAGCAA